Molecule: ribosomal RNA, 253 nt
Filed under: uncultured bacterium
Lineage: Bacteria
Description: partial 16S ribosomal RNA
Rfam family: Bacterial small subunit ribosomal RNA
Source: RNAcentral
UACGUAGGGUGCGAGCGUUAAUCGGAAUUACUGGGCGUAAAGCGUGCGCAGGCGGCUUUGCAAGACAGAUGUGAAAUCCCCGGGCUCAACCUGGGAACUGCAUUUGUGACUGCAAGGCUAGAGUACGGCAGAGGGGGAUGGAAUUCCGCGUGUAGCAGUGAAAUGCGUAGAUAUGCGGAGGAACACCAAUGGCGAAGGCAAUCCCCUGGGCCUGUACUGACGCUGAGGUACGAAAGCAUGGGGAGCAAACAGG